This is a long non-coding RNA of Terrapene triunguis (Three-toed box turtle), 296 nucleotides long. RefSeq lists it as uncharacterized. The transcript has 3 exons. Lineage: Eukaryota; Metazoa; Chordata; Testudines; Emydidae. The record is from RefSeq and is a predicted model, not a curated record.
CAAGGAAUGGGCAUGGGAGCGGGACAAGCGGCCAGAGAGGGGCUUUCGCUGCAGGUUCCUCUAUGGCCACUACCACUUCCUGGCAGUGAGAAGAGAACGGCAAGUGGUUUCCUCACCCGAUUGCCCUCGUUCCCGAGACGCCGCGCCGAAUCGGUGUAGAACUGCAGGAACCUCUCCAGCUGCGACAGGUCCUAGUGGGACGCGUGUCCCUUGCCCCAAGCCCCUUUCAGGAGGGAGAGGCCACGACGGAACGCCCGGCUCACCCACGGCUCAACGCCCGGCUCACCCACGGCUCG